This is a long non-coding RNA of Gopherus evgoodei (Goodes thornscrub tortoise), 1886 nucleotides long. RefSeq lists it as uncharacterized. The transcript is spliced from 3 exons. Lineage: Eukaryota; Metazoa; Chordata; Testudines; Testudinidae. The record is from RefSeq and is a predicted model, not a curated record.
UCAGACCUUAUCAGACAUCAGAGAAUCCAUACGGGGGAGACACCCUACACAUGCUCUGAGUGUGGGAAAAGGUUCAGUCAGAGCUCUGCCCUGAGCACGCACAGGAGAAUCCACACAGGAGAGAAACUCUACACAUGCUCUGAGUGUGGGAAAAGCUUCAAGCAGAGCCCAAGCCUUAUUAGACAUCACAAAAUCCACCUGAGAGUGAACUGUUAUAAAUCACUUGACUAGGGCUGGACAAAGAUUUUUUUUUUUUGAAUCACAUUUGCUAAUUCCCACAUAGUGAUUUUUGCACCAUCUUCACCGUGGCGCCUCAGCUCCACCAGAUCAGUUGCCUGCUUCUGCCUUUUGCAGCUCUCCCUUCUUUGGGGUCAGUCCUAUGAUCUUUUCUAUCAACUCCUGUCCUUUUGAGUCAUAGGCAUGUGCGUCCCUCCCGCCAGGAAUGUUCAUCAGCUCCAAGUGGGAGAGAGAUUUUGGUCUCAACAAACUACACUGAGGCAAAAACUACCUGUGCCUUCCAUCCACUAGGACUGUUCAUGGUGUUAGUUGCUCAAGUUAGUGAUCUUGGUGUAAAAAGACAAUUAGAAUUGUAGUGCAGAUGCAGCCCAGGUGCAGUGGUUGGCAUUAGCUUUCCCCUUGACCUGACCUAACCUAAACUCCAUCACUUCCUAGUCUAAAUAAACCCUGAGCAUUACGGUUAUACUGUUCCCCCAUUUCAAAGCAAUUGUUAGUCAUCGAGUUCUCCCUUGGGGAACAAAUUAUUUCAUUCCCAGUUGCUCUGAUGUUGCUUCAGGUUGUGCUGGGGAGCAGAUAUUUUUGCUACUAUUUUCCUCACUUAAAAUGUAUUGAACUAUAACAAAGAGCAGGGACAGGGCAGGGAUAGGGAAAAAUGUCAUUUCACCCACUCUAACAACAGACAUAGUUAGGGUAAAUUAGAUGGAUUCCCUUUUUCCCCGUCACCAUCCCAAUCCCCCGGUUGUUUAAUUGUUCAGGUCAAUAUUUUUUCUAAAAGGCUAGGAAGAGGAUUCCCUAGUAAAUGACUUGUAACUCAGCAAAAUACCUAUGCAUUGGGCUCCCAAAGCAGUUGUGGCCCAGGCUCUGCAGGAUAUCGCUCCUGAAAGUAGCUCCUUCUUAAUCAACUGCAUGUUGCCUAUUUGGGAAAUGCAAUCCCUAUCUAGGUAGAGAUGGGGAAAAUGGAAGUGACGUUUCUGUUCAGUUCACCCUGAGAUGCUGCAAACGUGUAGAAAAUGGAAUCUGUGUUGAAUGUGAUAUAGUUGCAAAAAGAUACCUAUUUUUAAUAGAGACCUGACAUUUGUUGUCUUACAGGGAUACUAAACCACACUUGAAUUUAGUCCCUAAUUUAAAUCUGUGGUACCAGAUUAAAAAAUCAAAGGGCAUAUUUGGGGGAGUUAUACCUCACUGUCGCUACUGCUGUGUUGUGUGGUUGGUGAAGAAUUCUACGCCAGGGACUUGGAGUAAUUUUAUACUUAAGGUCAAAGAUUUGAUAAGGACUCAGGUAGAAAUUGCAGGAACUUAGUGGCUGAUUUUCACCUCAGAGAUGGAAGCUAUGGUGACCUGUGGCCCAGGUCAACUAUUUUUCGAACCCUGCUCCCUAGUUAAGUGGCAUUGAUCACACUCCUAAAGGAUGCCAUGAUUAAAUUGGGAACAACAGUCUUUUACCAUUUGUCUCCAAAGUUAGAUGAGGCACAGAGAGAAACAGCUGAUUCCUUCAGAGCCAUUCCAUGGCUAUGGGUCCCAAUCUGGCUGUCUUGUUGGAGAAGAAGCACUUCCAUGCUGGGCAAAUGAUGGUAGCCAAUGAGGGAAUGUAUCAGAUUCCAAGUUCAGACUGCGGGAUAGAUGAAUGCGGAGUCCAGAGAGAAAAAAAC